UGGGGGAUAUUGCACAAUGGGCGAAAGCCUGAUGCAGCGACGCCGCGUGGGGGAUGAAGGCCUUCGGGUUGUAAACUUCUUUUGCUCUGAACAAGGCAUGCCUUUGGGGUGUGUUGAGUGUAGGGGUUGAUUAGCGCCGGCUAACUACGUGCCAGCAGCCGCGGUAAUACGUAGGGCGCGAGCGUUGUCCGGAAUUAUUGGGCGUAAAGGGCUUGUAGGUGGCUGGUUGCGUCUGUCGUGAAAGCUCAUGGCUUAACUGUGGGUUUGCGGUGGGUACGGGCUGGCUUGAGUGCAGUAGGGGAGGCUGGAAUUCCUGGUGUAGCGGUGGAAUGCGCAGAUAUCAGGAGGAAUACCGGUGGCGAAGGCGGGUCUCUGGGCUGUUACUGACGCUGAGGUGCGAAAGCGUGGGGAGCGAACAGG
Molecule: ribosomal RNA, 420 nt
Filed under: Fusobacteriota bacterium
Lineage: Bacteria; Fusobacteriati; Fusobacteriota
Description: Fusobacteria bacterium partial 16S ribosomal RNA
Rfam family: Bacterial small subunit ribosomal RNA
Source: RNAcentral